UACGUAGGGUGCGAGCGUUGUCCGGAAUUAUUGGGCGUAAAGAGCUCGUAGGCGGUUUUGUCGCGUCUGCCGUGAAAAGUCCGGGGGCUCAACUCCGGAUCUGCGGUGGGUACGGGCAGACUAGAGUGAUGUAGGGGGAGACUGGAAUUCCUGGUGUAGCGGUGGGAAUGCGCAGAUAUCAGGGAGGGAAACACCCGGGUGGCGAAGGCGGAUCUCUGGGGCCGAUACUGACGCUGAGGAGCGAAAAGCGUGGGGGAGCGAACAGG
Molecule: ribosomal RNA, 266 nt
Filed under: uncultured bacterium
Lineage: Bacteria
Description: partial 16S ribosomal RNA
Rfam family: Bacterial small subunit ribosomal RNA
Source: RNAcentral